AAUAUUGGUCAAUGUUGGCAACCCUGAUCCAGCCAUGCCGCGUUUUUGAAGAAGGUCUUCUGAAUGUAAAGCACUUUAAGUUGGGAGGAAGGGCUUUAGGUUAAUACCCUGAAGUUUUGACGUUACCAACAGUAUAAGUACCGGCUAACUCUGUGCCAGCAGCCGCGGUAAUACAGAGGUUGCAAGCGUUAUACGGAAUUACUGGGCGUAAAGCGCGCGUAGGUGGUUCAGUAAGAUGGGUGUGAAAUCCCCGGGCUUAACCUGGGAACUGCUUUCAUAACUGCUGAGCUAGAGUACGGUAGAGGGUAGUGGAAUUUCCUGUGUAGCGGUGAAAUGCGUAGAUAUAGGAAAGAACACCAGUGGCGAAGGCGACUACCUGGACUGAUACUGACACUGAGGUGCGAAAGCGUGGGGAGCAAAC
Molecule: ribosomal RNA, 421 nt
Filed under: uncultured bacterium
Lineage: Bacteria
Description: partial 16S ribosomal RNA
Rfam family: Bacterial small subunit ribosomal RNA
Source: RNAcentral